CUGCUUGCUUUCGGCGCAGACAUCAAUCAGAGGGCCAAGGAUGGUGACUCUGUCCUGAUGGAGGCCGUGAACCGAAGUCUGCAGGAAAUGGUUGAGGUUCUUCUGGAACAUUGCCCCGAUAUGAGUGUUGAGAAUAUCAACCGAAAGACUGUCUCUUACUCUAGCGC
Molecule: long non-coding RNA, 167 nt
Filed under: Penaeus japonicus
Lineage: Eukaryota; Metazoa; Arthropoda; Malacostraca; Decapoda; Penaeidae
Description: uncharacterized LOC122248439
Source: RNAcentral